GUGAAAUUGUUGAAAGGGAAACGAUUGAAGCCAGUCGUACCUUCGGGUAAUCAGCCUUUCGGGUGCGAUUCUGUGGAGUUUGAGGAGCUUAACACCUUCAUGCUUUGCAUAUUCGUGCUCUUGGGUGUACUUGCCCGUGUGGUUGGUUAACAUCAAUUUCGGGCACCAUAAAAUGGCUGGAGGAAUGUAGCUUCGAUCUUGUAUUGAAGUGUUAUAGCCUUCGGUAGAUGUGGUGAUCGAGAUUGAGGAUUGCAACGGAUACCCUCUGGGCUAUUCGUCUGAUCUCUGGAAGUUACCUUGGUGUCGAAAGCGUGCUUACGAUAUUAAGGUUGACGGCCAAUAGGUUAGAACGUGAUUAAAUUCGUUAAGGAUGUUGACGUAAUGGCUUUAAACGAC
This 396-nucleotide ribosomal RNA is filed under the name uncultured Rhizophagus. Its description in RNAcentral is "eukaryotic LSU rRNA". Lineage: Eukaryota; Fungi; Glomeromycota; Glomeromycetes; Glomerales; Glomeraceae. The record is from RNAcentral.